GAAAAUUUUCAACGAUGGAUAUCUCGGCUCCCACGACGAUGAAGAACGCAGCGAAAUGCGAUACGCAAUGCGAAUUGCAGAAUCCCGCGAGUCAUCAGAUCUUUGAACGCAAAUGGCGCCAGUAUCACUGCUGGCAUGUUUGCUUCAGUGU
This 151-nucleotide ribosomal RNA is filed under the name Cinetochilum ovale. RNAcentral describes it as "5.8S ribosomal RNA". It matches the Rfam family "5.8S ribosomal RNA". Rfam says of the family: 5.8S ribosomal RNA (5.8S rRNA) is a component of the large subunit of the eukaryotic ribosome. The record is from RNAcentral. Lineage: Eukaryota; Ciliophora; Oligohymenophorea; Philasterida; Cinetochilidae.